This 682-nucleotide ribosomal RNA is filed under the name Coleoptera sp. NZAC 03012677. Its description in RNAcentral is "eukaryotic LSU rRNA". The stretch from base 467 to 682 matches the Rfam family "Eukaryotic large subunit ribosomal RNA", at positions 665 to 848 of the family's 3401-position model. Lineage: Eukaryota; Metazoa; Arthropoda; Insecta; Coleoptera. The record is from RNAcentral.
UACGUGAAACCGUUCAGGGGUAAACCUGAGAAACCCGAAAGGUCGAAGGGGGACAUUCAACCGCGCUCGGUCGGCGGCGAGAGGCGGUCGCGCGACGGUGAUCCCUCCGGGGUGAUCCGCGCCGGCCGCCGACGUCCGUCUCCGAACACGUGCACUUGUCCCCUUGUAGGACGUCGCGACCCGUUGGGUGCCGGUCUACGGCCCUCGGUGGAGCCCGUGCGGAGCCUCGCGCUCCGUCCGGACCCGAGGUGUCCCGGCCGGCUCGCCCGACGGUAUACCGAUGGCGCGGGGCCGCGGCUCGAACGCGUCCGACCCUCCGCAAGUGCGGACGGUAACCCGGCGGUCGGACCUGGUCCGGCUCCGGGCCCGCCCGGCUGCUGGCGGAGGCGCUCUCGGACAGACUCCGUGCACGCCCGUCGGCGACGCUAUAGCUUUGGGUACUUUCAGGACCCGUCUUGAAACACGGACCAAGGAGUCUAGCAUGUGCGCGAGUCAUUGGGAUUGACUAAACCUAAAGGCGCAAUGAAAGUGAAGGCCCGCCUCGCGCGGGCCGAGGGAGGAUGGGCCGGAGCACGAUCCGGCCCCGCACUCCCGGGGCGUCUCGCUCUCAUCGCGAGGAGAGGCGCACCCAGAGCGUACACGCUGGGACCCGAAAGAUGGUGAACUAUGCCUGGUCAGGACG